Molecule: non-coding RNA, 208 nt
Organism: Pelobates cultripes (western spadefoot toad)
Lineage: Eukaryota; Metazoa; Chordata; Amphibia; Anura; Pelobatidae
Source: the annotation of a GenBank genome assembly
CCGUCAUUCGGUAGGAUAAAUCCCACGAACUAUGGGAUUCAUCCGAAUGCAAACUCAACUAUAGAUGGCAUAGAUUUUCGGGACUUUUGAUGCGUGAACGGAGACCGACCACAGGGCCAAGAUUCAUGGAACUAUUUUCGGCUACUUUGCCCAUGCGGUCGAACAAAUCUUUGCGUCCUCGUAACUCCUGAACCCCUGGUCUGAUCUG